ACAUGAAGGAGCUUGGACGCGAUUCUUCCUCAGCUGAGCUGGAAAGGACUGCAGCCUGACCAGCACCUUGACUGCAGCCUUGCGAGAGCCCUGGAACCAGAAGCGCUCAGCCGAGCCACUCCUGGAUUUUCAGGACCCACAGAAACUCCACUCUAUGCAUUUUGAUUGGAGAAGUAAAUCCAUUUAAAGUAAUUAUUGACGGCGGUAAUACAGGGAUGGACUCAGACUAUACCUUCAGAUGAACCUGCAGGAGACUUCUAUGUGAAACAGAGGUAUGGGAGGAAGCAGGCAUAGCAUGGAAGCCUUUCUGGCAAGAGCAUCAGUGUGUUGAAGUGAUAUACAGAUUUCAGAGGAAGGAGUUGCCAA
Molecule: long non-coding RNA, 366 nt
Organism: Equus quagga
Lineage: Eukaryota; Metazoa; Chordata; Mammalia; Perissodactyla; Equidae
Exons: 3
Source: RefSeq, a predicted model, not a curated record